GGGGCUGUAGCUCAGUUGGGAGAGCGCUUGAAUGGCAUUCAAGAGGUCGUCGGUUCGAUCCCGUCCAGCUCCA
Desulfomonile tiedjei DSM 6799 is the source of this 73-nucleotide transfer RNA. It matches the Rfam family "tRNA". Rfam says of the family: Transfer RNA (tRNA) molecules are approximately 80 nucleotides in length. Their secondary structure includes four short double-helical elements and three loops (D, anti-codon, and T loops). The record is from Rfam. NCBI's taxonomy places the organism in Bacteria, Pseudomonadati, Thermodesulfobacteriota, Desulfomonilia, Desulfomonilales, Desulfomonilaceae.